UUCGCUUUUGCCUGGACCCCUGAGUUGGGCGGCAGUCCAGAGAGUCAUGGCUUCCAUCAUAAAAGCCAGAACCACAGCCAGACCAGCUGCGCUCACUUCCAGCCCAGACAGCACCAACACAGCUAGCCUCUAAUUCUUCAACUCCUGGGAUUCAAAAGAAGCUAAAAUGACCUCUGACCCCGUUUGAAAAGGAAUGUAGAUGUGGAAUGAAUGAAACUGUUUGUCUAUUUAUCCUCUAUUUAUACUCAUGUGCACUGUAGUAUAUCUGUUAUUUUUUACAUUUCUUUUAUUCGUUUUUGUAAAUUAAUGUAUGUGUUGAACCAAGUCCUUUGCCUUUUGGUAAUUUCAGUGUUUUUCUAAAUAAAUAUAAAAUCAAUGGAG
Molecule: long non-coding RNA, 381 nt
Organism: Trematomus bernacchii (emerald rockcod)
Lineage: Eukaryota; Metazoa; Chordata; Actinopteri; Perciformes; Nototheniidae
Exons: 2
Source: RefSeq, a predicted model, not a curated record